UGCCAGCAGCCGCGGUAAUACGGAGGGGGCAAGCGUUGCUCGGAAUUACUGGGCGUAAAGCGAGCGUAGGUGGUUUAUUAAGUUGGAUGUGAAAGCCCCGGGCUCAACCUGGGAACUGCAUUCGAUACUGGCAGACUAGAGUGCGAGAGAGGGAGGUAGAAUUCCAUGUGUAGCGGUGAAAUGCGUAGAUAUGUGGAGGAAUACCAGUGGCGAAGGCGGCCUCCUGGCUCGACACUGACACUGAGGUGCGAAAGCGUGGGGAGCAAACAGGAUUAGAUA
This 279-nucleotide ribosomal RNA is filed under the name uncultured bacterium. RNAcentral describes it as "partial 16S ribosomal RNA". It matches the Rfam family "Bacterial small subunit ribosomal RNA", at positions 506 to 784 of the family's 1533-position model. The record is from RNAcentral.